RNAcentral lists this ribosomal RNA (429 nucleotides) under Gemmatimonadota bacterium. RNAcentral's name for it is "Gemmatimonadetes bacterium partial 16S ribosomal RNA". It matches the Rfam family "Bacterial small subunit ribosomal RNA", at positions 355 to 776 of the family's 1533-position model. Lineage: Bacteria; Pseudomonadati; Gemmatimonadota. The record is from RNAcentral.
UAGGGAAUCUUCGGCAAUGGACGAAAGUCUGACCGAGCAACGCCGCGUGAGUGAAGAAGGUUUUCGGAUCGUAAAACUCUGUUGUUAGAGAAGAACAAGGACGUUAGUAACUGAACGUCCCCUGACGGUAUCUAACCAGAAAGCCACGGCUAACUACGUGCCAGCAGCCGCGGUAAUACGUAGGUGGCAAGCGUUGUCCGGAUUUAUUGGGCGUAAAGCGAGCGCAGGCGGUUUCUUAAGUCUGAUGUGAAAGCCCCCGGCUCAACCGGGGAGGGUCAUUGGAAGCUGGGAGACUUGAGUGCAGAAGAGGAGAGUGGAAUUCCAUGUGGAGCGGUGAAAUGCGUAGAUAUAUGGAGGAACACCAGUGGCGAAGGCGGCUCUCUGGUCUGUAACUGACGCUGAGGCUCGAAAGCGUGGGGAGCAAACAGG